CCAGGUGGACUGAUACCCAUUUCAUCCCGGCAUCUCUCCUCGGGGACACUCAUCUUUAGCACUUCAAGGACACACUCAUUCCUACGGUUUUGGAAAAGGAGCCAAUUAAUGAUUGGUAACGUGUGGACAUUCCGGGCAAGGAGAGUGCAUGUCAACCGGCCAGGACACGCAGACUCUAGGAGCUAUGGAGACGCGAGGGGGCACCCACGGGUCGCUUUCCCUCCAGGCCGAGGGAAAGCGGUGCCCUGGGUGGGUGGGCGCGGAGCAGAUGCAAGCACGCCCGCCUGCUGGCCAUGGAGCCCCCGAUGCGCACUAGCCACAUGAAAGCCCAUGCGAUGGAGAGCGGACAAGGGGUAAAAAACCCGAUAAUUACGACUGCUGUGCUCUUUGCCUAGACAGAGACGCUUCAGGGCAGACCCUGCAAGGGAAGAAGAAACGACACAAGACCACAGGGUUAGGCAGGACAGCACACACGGGGGACAGGCCACCACACUAAGCACAAGUCAUCAGUGUGCAAGGAGGAGCAGAGGCCAGCGAUUCAGAGAGGGGACUGGCCACCUGGGCUAACCGGGUGACCGCGAGUCAGUGUGCGGGCUCACGUGAACUUCGCCGAGGGGCUCAGGUGCAGGACCAGGCCCCAAGCUUCAGGUAGAAGUUUGAGGCCAAUCCCAGAUCCCAGGCGGCUUCCCUGACCAGACCAGUGGUGGACACAGAGGGCACCUAUCUACAGAGGUGGGAAUCAGGGCUGGACCCAAGUUUCUGCAACGCUGCUGCCUCACCUGGUAGCCCACGUCCACCAGAACGGGGUCAGGCCAGAUGAGCCCACAGCUGCAGCCCUCCCCCUGCUGCUGACCUGGACUCCAGGACCAGGCCCCCAGAGCGGGCCCCACCCUCAGGGUCUUCCCACAGCCCUGCGCCUCAGACCUCCUCUCUGCCACCUCUCAGCCCUCAGGGCUGCGACCAGACUUUUUCCUCCAGACUUUCACAGGUGCCUGUGGUCUCCUCAGGCCUCCGAGCUCCCUAGUAACCCAGGAACCAGCCAGCUCCAGCUCCAGGAGUAGGCUGGCAGGCUGGGCGGACACCAGGGCACUGGGCAUGGAAGGACACACCUUCACAUGCCCCCAGGGCCAGGGCCUGUGGGGGCCACACUGUGGCCAGGACAGCAAAGAGCUCAGCCAAGGCGUGCCUGCAGAGGGCUGUUGUGAAAACAGCAAGGCCACUGGGCCCAACCACCUAAAAUCAGGUCCACCCAGGCCAGGAGCCCCGUGUGCCACCAAGCCAUGCCUCACAUGUCCCUUUCCUCUUAGCCACAGAGACGGAAACAAAAGCUAGACCAUUUGUCCUUGCUGUGCCUCCCCAUUUUUUUUUUUUAUCUUGGAAUAAUAACAGUAAAACAAAUGAAAACUCCUAAAAAUGAAUGCAGGACCAUGUGGGCACAAACCUUGAAGGAGCAUGUGGCACU
This is a long non-coding RNA of Prionailurus viverrinus (fishing cat), 1462 nucleotides long. RefSeq lists it as uncharacterized. The transcript has 3 exons. The record is from RefSeq and is a predicted model, not a curated record. NCBI's taxonomy places the organism in Eukaryota, Metazoa, Chordata, Mammalia, Carnivora, Felidae.